UUUUCUAUUUCCAGCAGGACACAUCUGGCAAUGGAUGUGACAUUCAGCACUGCCCAGGUUUCUUUCACUUGGAAGAUGAAAACUGGUGAAUGGAAGGAGGCAAUCCUCUGGCAGUGGGAUGCUAUGGAGCAAUAAUCAGGCAAGUUUGCUUGCUUGAAGGCUGCUGAUAUCUGUGGUUGGAAGCUGGCAGACAUCUUAUGAUGGACCUAACAGUAGCUUUUGGCACAAUGGGACACUGUGACAGAAACCAAAGUGCACGGAAACACCGUAUACCUUCCCGCCACAGCGGUACCUAUUUAUUUACUUGCACUGGUGUGCUUUCGAACUGCUAGGCUGGCAGAAGCUGGGACAGAGCAACAGGAGCUCAUCCCAUCACGGGGAUUCAAACCGCUGACCUUCUGAUUGGCAAGCCCAAGAGGCUCAGUGGUUUAGAUCACAGCGCCACCCACGUCCCUUAUACUGCCAUGUACUGGAUCAACAUUUUCAUCAAACUAUACACCAUCAAGUUCUCCUGUGGAGUGGUACUGUUUGAGGCAGACAAACCCAUGUGUUUACGGCAGGAGAAAUUAGAAAUGGGUUGGGGUUUUGAUUUUUUAAAAAUGAAUUCAGUUUACAGAAUCCAUCUAAUGUGACAAUGUUCCUAUGUCCUGCCAAAGCACACACUGAUGCUCCAGACCAAGCUUUGCCACUGAUGGGAUGCAGCAUUUAACCAAUGUUGCACCAAAUGUUUCAGAUAUUGAUUCUCUUUUUAAAUGUGUUUUAUAGCUACCGUAUUUUUCGCUCUAUAACACGCACCCAACCAUAACACGCACAUAGUUUUAAGAGGAGGAAAAUCUGUAGGCAUGCCACCCGUAGGCAUUUCCUCCAUAACACGCACAGACAUUUCCCCUUACUUUCUAGGAGGAAAAAAGUGAGUGUUAUGGUGCAAAAAAUACGGUAUUUGGAAAACAACCUCUCUAAGCAUAAUUAUAAAUUACAAGAGUUGCCUAAUUUGUUUUUAACAUGGCGAGUAGAAUUCAAACCAAGUCAAGAAUUGCUUACUGCAUUUGAAUUUCCAUGGAAUGAAAUGGUUUAAGCAAAUAACUGCCACAAAGUGCUUUGGGAAAUAAUGGUGUAUGGAGGAGAUUUAUUUAAUGUGGAGAGAAAUCUAAGCUUUUAAUAGAAAACUGGCCAAAGUGUCAGCUACUGCUACAAAAUAAUUUUGUAAUGGCUACAGCAGACUAAUAUGCAACUCCAGUCUUGCAAAAAUGCAUACUGUUUGUUCAGUCAUUAGUACAGCAAGACUCUUUAUACGCUUCCAAGAACUAUUACGUAAGUAAGCAAUUAUGGUCCUUUUUAAUCAAAUAUUUAACAACCUGAAGUGGGGGGAAGACACCCAGCUUCAAAGGAACUAAUGCACUGUAGCAUUCCAAACAAAACAGUGUCCCAUAAUGUAAUGAAUUCAAAUGCCAAAUGUUGCAUCAAAUAUUUACUGAACUGGACAGAUCACACCUGUUCAGUAACUUGCUGCUUAUUUUGAUUACGGUUCAGAUGGAGGCAUCUAAAAUUAGUCCACUAACUUCCACAUAAAUGAUUUCAUUUAGGCAUGCACUAGUUUAUUAUUUAGUUCAGGCAGGAAUUGCAAGAAAAGACAUAAAGACAUACAUGCACCUUACAUGGGAACAUAUCCUUACUGAAGGAUAAAUAUACCUGUGCCUUCCUAUGAUCACCUAUAUGUUCUAAUUUAUUAGGUUCUCCAGAUCUGCAAAUUGUCAAGCUACAAAGUUAUGAGGUGAAGCAUACUAGGCACAAGGGGAAAGCACAUUGAAACAGGUACAGAUGUUACUACCUUUGCACAAGGGCAAGGUUAAACUACAGGCAUCGCAUGCCCAGCUGAAGCUACCCAAUGAGCCUUUUUCUGGGUAAUGAAAUGGCAUGCUAUAACAGCAUGCCACCCACAGCCAUGCAUACAUCAAUUUCAGAGGACAAUGUGGGUAGCAGCAGCAGCUUUAUGGUCCAGAUGGACCAUAAAGAAGGCUGAUUGCCAAAGAAUUGAUGCUUUCGAAUUCUGGUGCUGGAGGAGACUCUUGAGAGUCCCAUGGACUGCAAGAAGAUCAAACCUCUCCAUUCUGAAGGAAAUCAG
RNAcentral lists this long non-coding RNA (2122 nucleotides) under Podarcis lilfordi (Lilford's wall lizard). The record is from RNAcentral. Lineage: Eukaryota; Metazoa; Chordata; Lepidosauria; Squamata; Lacertidae.